GUACUCACUUCAUCAGCACAUAUACAGAAAUUGGAAUGAUACAGAGAUUAGCAUGGCCCCUGGACAAGGAUGACACACAAAUUUGUAGAGUUCCAUAUUUUU
Small nuclear RNA from Vulpes vulpes (red fox), 102 nucleotides. The record is from Ensembl. Lineage: Eukaryota; Metazoa; Chordata; Mammalia; Carnivora; Canidae.